This 253-nucleotide ribosomal RNA is filed under the name uncultured bacterium. Its description in RNAcentral is "partial 16S ribosomal RNA". It matches the Rfam family "Bacterial small subunit ribosomal RNA", at positions 524 to 776 of the family's 1533-position model. The record is from RNAcentral.
UACGUAGGGUGCUAGCGUUAAUCGGAGUUACUGGGCGUAAAGCGUGCGCAGGCUGUUGCGUAAGACAGAUGUGAAAUCCCCGGGCUCAACCUAGGAAUUGCAUUUGUGACUGCGCAGCUAGAGUGCGGCAGAGGGGGAUGGAAUUCCGCGUGUAGCAGUGAAAUGCGUAGAUAUGCGGAGGAACACCGAUGGCGAAGGCAGGUCUCUGGGUCAAUACUGACACUGAGGGACGAAAGCUAGGGGAGCGAAAGGG